AGAUUGAACGCUGGCGGCAUGCCUUACACAUGCAAGUCGAACGGCAGCACGGGGGCAACCCUGGUGGCGAGUGGCGAACGGGUGAGUAACAUAUCGGAACGUGCCCUGGAGUGGGGGAUAACUAGUCGAAAGAUUAGCUAAUACCGCAUACGAUCUACGGAUGAAAGUGGGGGAUCGCAAGACCUCAUGCUCGUGGAGCGG
Molecule: ribosomal RNA, 201 nt
Filed under: uncultured soil bacterium
Lineage: Bacteria
Description: partial 16S ribosomal RNA
Rfam family: Bacterial small subunit ribosomal RNA
Source: RNAcentral